GAAAUGCGAUAAGUAAUGUGAAUUGCAGAAUUCAGUGAAUCAUCGAAUCUUUGAACGCACCUUGCGCUCCUUGGUAUUCCUUGGAGCAUGCCUGUUUGAGUAUCAUGAAAUCUUCAAAGUAAAUCUUUUGUUAACUCAAUUGGUUUCUACUUUGGUAUUGGAGGUCUUUGCAGCUUCACACCUGCUCCUCUUUGUUCAUUAGCUGGAUCUCAGUGUUAUGCUUGGUUCCACUCGGCGUGAUAAGUUAUCUAUCGCUGAGGACACUGUAAAAGGUGGCCAAGGUAAAUUCAGAUGAACCGCUUCUAAUAGUCCAUUGACUUGGACAAUACUUUUAUGAUCUGAUCUCAAAUCAGGUAGGAUUACCCGCUGAACUUAAGC
This 378-nucleotide unclassified non-coding RNA is filed under the name plant metagenome. RNAcentral's name for it is "partial contains 5.8S ribosomal RNA, internal transcribed spacer 2, and large subunit ribosomal RNA". The stretch from base 1 to 105 matches the Rfam family "5.8S ribosomal RNA", at positions 50 to 154 of the family's 154-position model. The record is from RNAcentral.